UGUGUUUGUGUCUGACUCUGUGUGUAUCUGACUGUGUUUGUGAGUGUGUGUGUGUUUGUGUCUGACUGUGUGUCUGACUGUGUGUGUGUUUGUCUGACUGUGUUUGUGUCUGUGUAUGUGUCUGACUGUGUGUGUGUUUGUGUCUGACUCUGUGUGUGUCUGACUGUGUUUGUGAGUGUGUGUGUGUUUGUAUCUGACUGUGUUUGUGAGUGUGUGUGUUUGUGUCUGACUCUGUUUGUCUGUUUGUGUAUGUGUGUGUGUGUUUGUGUCUGAC
Molecule: non-coding RNA, 274 nt
Organism: Pelobates cultripes (western spadefoot toad)
Lineage: Eukaryota; Metazoa; Chordata; Amphibia; Anura; Pelobatidae
Source: the annotation of a GenBank genome assembly